AAAUAUUUUCUAAUCGUCCUUCCUUUCAGUGGGCACUCCCUGGGCAUAGAUUAACUGUACAUGUUUGUGAGUGGAGAGGAAAGCAUCAGUUUUCAUCUUGAAACUGGUAACCCAUUCCUCUCUAAGAUAGAUCUUUAAGACUGUGAAGAUAGGAUGGUGUGAUGAGAUGAGACAUCUACGGUGGCUGAAACUCACUACCAACUCCCUAGAAGUAACCUGGCUCUGCUGCUGUGUACAGUUUACAAACCAUACACUCAGUUUUAUGUCUGCCUUAAUUAUACAUAGUGGCCCCGCAGAAGAUCUUGUUUAAAAUGAAGGCAAGAGUAGACUUCCUAUGUGUAUAUAUUCAAGGAGAGCCUUUGUAUACCUGGUAACAUGACUGCCCAGCUCUGAACUAGGUGUUCAGGGUCUGAAGAUGAAAUCAUCAGAGAAGGUGUGUAGGUAGCCUCGGAAUGUAAGGACGAUGGGGCUAUCAAAUACCCUAAAUUAUAUCAACUCAGAGCUUAAAAGGAU
This 513-nucleotide long non-coding RNA is filed under the name Bos taurus (domestic cattle). RNAcentral's name for it is "long non-coding RNA NONBTAT016768". The record is from RNAcentral. Lineage: Eukaryota; Metazoa; Chordata; Mammalia; Artiodactyla; Bovidae.